This 69-nucleotide transfer RNA is filed under the name Jatrophihabitans endophyticus. RNAcentral's name for it is "tRNA-Arg". It matches the Rfam family "tRNA". From Rfam's summary of the family: Transfer RNA (tRNA) molecules are approximately 80 nucleotides in length. Their secondary structure includes four short double-helical elements and three loops (D, anti-codon, and T loops). Further hydrogen bonds mediate the characteristic L-shaped molecular structure. tRNAs have two regions of fundamental functional importance: the anti-codon, which is responsible for specific mRNA codon recognition, and the 3' end, to which the tRNAs corresponding amino acid is attached (by aminoacyl-tRNA synthetases). tRNAs cope with the degeneracy of the genetic code in two manners: having more than one tRNA (with a specific anti-codon) for a particular amino acid; and 'wobble' base-pairing, i.e. permitting non-standard base-pairing at the 3rd anti-codon position. Lineage: Bacteria; Bacillati; Actinomycetota; Actinomycetes; Jatrophihabitantales; Jatrophihabitantaceae. The record is from RNAcentral.
GUUGAUCAUUUAGUCCAUCGUCGCUCUCCGGAGGCGGGAGCGCAGGUUCGAAUCCUGCCGGGAGCACCA